GUAUUGCUUUUCUAAUUUCAUCAAUUGAGUACUUUGAUGUUUCAGAGUUUAUACCAUGAGUGCAUCUGCAGCAAUUUGGUAUCUGGUUUUUAUUUCAUUUUCUUACAAUUCACAGUAAGCCUUCUCGAAUAAAUCACAGUGUGACCUAAUCUUACGUGAUUGGAUGUCGCCUAAGUAUGCUUCCUGCUAUUUUUUACACUAUUGUUAACGCCAAACUGUUGUCAUGACUUACUGGUGAAAUUUAGAAGUGAUAUAUCUGCGCAUAUAUACGGGUAUUUAACAUAACAUGAUCUGCAUGUUCUGAAUCUGCAGUUCUGCACUAUGCUUUGCUGGAUGUCGCCUAAGCAGAGGAUGCGGCAGUCUUGGCCACAUUUGGUUUUCAUAAGCUAAUGUGGGUUUCUUUCCCUUUUAUUCUUGCAAGAUAUGGUUCUUUGUUGGUUCAUUCGACCAUGCCGUUAACCAACAAGGCCUCUGAUCCUGUCUGUAGUGUGCGGCUAGGUUGUUCCUCCGCCUGGGUCGUAGCUUCUUUCCUUUCUGCCGACGGCAGGUACAAGACUCGAGCAAUGGUUAACGGGCAAGCACUAUAUACACCAUUCAUCUAUGCUAAUAUAAUCUGUCUUUUAAAGCCAAUGUAUGCUAUCACCAAGUGAUCUGAAUAUUUUGUUUCAAGCAUCAAGCUUUCAUGUAAUGGAAUAUAAGUAUCUUUAAGUUGAUUCUAAAUCAAUCUCAUACACAUGCUUUGAAUGCUUGGCUCGCUCUUGCUUUUUGUGCCAUGGUCAAACAUGGAGCGAUGACUCUGUCUAAUGUUUAUCACUUCAUAGCGCCUAUAUGUGACUAUCUACUUUCUUUGCUAAUAACAUUGUAAAUAAUUAAUCGUAAGCUUCUUAGAACACUAAGUACCAUCACUAAGCAUCUAUCUACCAGCAAUAGGUACUUAUUUUCAUAUGUUUCAAUAUGUGCCCGAAUAAUAUUAAUGUACACUCUUUCAAUACAUGGCAUACUCUCGGCCUUUGCGCCAUUGGCGCAACCAGUCAUCUAGUAGUAGUCGAGGGAGAUAGCUCAUCGAAAGAUGACGCAUCAGAAGAAUUCACAAGAUGUGGACGACUAGUUUAGUAAAGAAGAGGAUGAGGAUGGGGAUGAAUCACCUGGGAAGCCUUAGGGGACGAACGAGGUUGGGAAGCCGCAGAUGACGAUGACGUGCGGUCUACAACAGUCGUACAGGAAGACACAUUGGAAUGGAUGGACAAGGGCAAUACAUGAGUAAUAGGUGUAUCGGCAAAAGCCAGGAAAGAAAUGUCCUCAAUGAGAGAGGCCGAAGGAGAGAAUUGACGUGGAUAGAAAGGACGAGGCUCAUCAAAAGUCGCACCCCGAGAAAUGCUUAUCCGCCGAUCGAUACGAUCCCAACACUGAUAGUCCUUGUGCUCAUCAGCGUAACCUAAGAAGAAACAUUCAAUAUACUAAGCAACCAGUUUGAGGGGGCAAGAACAUAUUGAUCGCAACAAAACAAAGGAAGCGUUGUGUAGCCAUGAGAACGACCAAAAAGACACUCGAGAGGAAUAUCGCCCUACAAAGCAAGGAAGGUUGGUUGUUGAUCAGGUAGGUGGAUGUAGAAACAACCUCAACCCAAAAGUGACCUAAGAAGACACAUUCAAUAUACUAAGCAGUCAGUUUGAGGGGCAAGAAGAAUGUAUUAAACGCAACAAAACAAACGAAGCACUGAGUAGCCAUGAGAACGACCAAAAAGACACUCAAGAGGAAUAUCACCCUGCAAAGCAAGGAAGGAUAACUGUUGAUCAGGUAGGUGGAUGUAGAAACAACCUCAACCCAAAAGUGAGGUGGAAGAGAUGCGUUGAUCUUCAAUGCACAAGCUGCCUCAAGAAGGUGACGAUGCUUAGCAAACAAUUCUGAUCAUAAGACCAUGACAAGAGAACUGAGAAAGUGCGCCCUGCAAGGAAUCUGCUUAAUAAAUGAUUGAUAAACUCGCAUGCAAAAUCUGCAUGGAAGACACAGGAAGGAGUGGAAAACCGGGUAUGAAGCAUGGCGGCAAACUUCUUACUGAUAAGACCUCGCUAGAAGAAAAGCAUAAAAUAUAUCCAUGUGUGUUCGAGAGAAAUCAUAUAUAAAGAUGAUAUAGUAGUGAUGUCCUCCUUUUGAGGCAAAGGGAC
Long non-coding RNA from Triticum dicoccoides, 2165 nucleotides. RefSeq lists it as uncharacterized. The transcript has 3 exons. The record is from RefSeq and is a predicted model, not a curated record. Lineage: Eukaryota; Viridiplantae; Streptophyta; Magnoliopsida; Poales; Poaceae.